Molecule: ribosomal RNA, 1217 nt
Filed under: uncultured Rhizaria
Lineage: Eukaryota
Description: SSU rRNA
Rfam family: Eukaryotic small subunit ribosomal RNA
Source: RNAcentral
CGGUAAUUCCAGCUCCAAUAGCGUAUACUAAAGUUGUUGCAGUUAAAAAGCUCGUAGUUGGAUUUCUGCGGGGACGGAGCGGCCGGACGCAACUUGCGUCUCGAGCUAGCGCUUUCCCCGCAUCCUGCCGCGAACCGUGCUACCAUUAGUUUGGUGGCGCUGGGGAUCGGCUCGAUUACUUUGAGAAAAAUAGAGUGUUCAAAGCAGGCCACACGCCUUGAAUAAGUUAGCAUGGAAUAAUGACUAAGGACUUUGGUUCUUUUCGUUGGUGUUCGGGACUGAAGUAAUGAUUGAUAGGGACAGUUGGGGCGGUCCGUAUUCCAAAGCGAGAGGUGAAAUUCUUAGACCUUCGGAAGACGAACAGCUGCGAAAGCGUUCCGCAAGGAUGUUCCCUUUGAUCAAGAACGAAAGUUGGGGGAUCGAAGACGAUCAGAUACCGUCGUAGUCUCAACUAUAAACUAUACCAGCUAGGGAUCGGCCAACGUUUAAUUAUUCGACUUGGUCGGCACCUUAUGAGAAAUCAAAGCAUCUGGGUUCCGGGGGGAGUAUGGUCGCAAGGCUGAAACUUAAAGGAAUUGACGGAAGGGCACCACCAGGCGUGGAGCCUGUGGCUUAAUUUGACUCAACACGGGAAAACUUACCAGGUCCAGACAUAGGAAGGAUUGACAGAUUGAUAGCUCUUUCUUGAUUCUGUGGGUGGUGGUGCAUGGCCGUUUUUAGUCGGUGAAGUGAUUUGUCUGCUUAAUUGCGUUAACGGACGAGACCCCAGCCUGCUAAAUAGCGCGGCCGAGCUUUGCUCGGUACGAGCUUCUUAGAGGGACCAUGAUGUGCGAUAGCACAAGGAAGUUUGGGGCAACAACAGGUCUGUGAUGCCCUUAGAUGUUCUGGGCCGCACACGGGCUACACUGGCGCCUGCAACGAGCAUAUCAGCUGGCCCGAGAGGGUCUUGGCUAAUCUUUGGAACCGGCGCCGUGCUUGGGAUUGACCAUUGCAAUUGUUGGUCAUGCAACGAGGAAUGCCUUGUAAACGCGAGUCAUCAGCUCGCAUUGAAUACGUCCCUGCCCUCUGUACACACCGCCCGUCGCUCCUACCGAUGAAUGUUCCGAUGAAAUUUUCGGAGAGCGCCGGAGAACGGGGCUUUGCCCUGCAGAACUGGAGGCUCAAGGUCACUUAAAUCUGAGCAUUUCGAGGAAGGAGAAGUCGUAACAAGGUAGCCG